AUACGGAGGGUGCGAGCGUUAAUCGGAAUUACUGGGCGUAAAGGGUACGUAGGCGGUUAUGUCAGUCAGAUGUGAAAGCCCCGGGCUUAACCUGGGAACUGCAUUUGAUACUGCAUAGCUAGAGUUUGGUAGAGGAGGGCGGAAUUCCCGGUGUAGCGGUGAAAUGCGUAGAGAUCGGGAGGAACACCAGUGGCGAAGGCGGCUCUCUGGACCAAAACUGACGCUGAGGUACGAAAGCGUGGGUAGCAAACAGGAUUAGAGACCCCGGUAGUCC
Molecule: ribosomal RNA, 274 nt
Filed under: uncultured bacterium
Lineage: Bacteria
Description: partial 16S ribosomal RNA
Rfam family: Bacterial small subunit ribosomal RNA
Source: RNAcentral